RNAcentral lists this ribosomal RNA (432 nucleotides) under uncultured bacterium. RNAcentral describes it as "bacterial SSU rRNA". It matches the Rfam family "Bacterial small subunit ribosomal RNA", at positions 338 to 786 of the family's 1533-position model. The record is from RNAcentral.
CCUACGGGGGGCAGCAGUGGGGAAUAUUGCGCAAUGGGGGAAACCCUGACGCAGCAACGCCGCGUGAGUGAAGAAGGCCUUCGGGUUGUAAAGCUCUUUAAUCAGGGACGAAGAAUGACGGUACCUGAAGAAUAAGCUCCGGCUAACUACGUGCCAGCAGCCGCGGUAAUACGUAGGGAGCAAGCGUUAUCCGGAUUUACUGGGUGUAAAGGGCGUGUAGGCGGGCCUGCAAGUCAGAAGUGAAAUCUGGGGGCUUAACCCCCAAACUGCUUUUGAAACUGUGGGUCUUGAGUGAUGGAGAGGCAGGCGGAAUUCCCAGUGUAGCGGUGAAAUGCGUAGAUAUUGGGAGGAACACCAGUGGCGAAGGCGGCCUGCUGGACAUUAACUGACGCUGAGGCGCGAAAGCGUGGGGAGCAAACAGGAUUAGAUACC